GAGCACAACAUAAUUAUCAAUGCACAAUUUAUACUAUUAAAUAACAAUUUAAUUCGUACAAUUGAAAAUAUGUUCAACGAAUGCCUUGCCGUGACACAAAAGAAAUUCGAAAUCGAUACGAAAAAAAUCGAAAAUGUAAAGAACUAUAAAAGCAAUUAAAUUGAAAAAUUUUUUAUAAGUCAAUACCAUAUUUUGUCGGUCAAAUUUAGGUCUGCAUUUUAUUUGUGAACCCGCAAAAAUUUCUUAUGACGAAGAGUUUAAUAGAAAAUAAUACUUGGGAAAUUGUUGAUUUGACGUAUAAAGAAUAUUUGCAUACAACAAAAUGGAUUUUUAAGCUAAAAGAGUUAUGCGAUGAAGUUCACUCGGGUAUUUAUUUUCAAUAGCCGAUGAGUUUAAUCUUCGGAUGAAUCACGUAGAUGUAGAGCCGCCUAUUUAAAUUUUAUAAAUAUUGUAUAUAAAAUUUCCUGAAGUUUUAAAGUUAAACAGACCAAUAUAUUUCCUAAAACAAAUGUUAAGAACAUAGAAACAAUUUUCUAUACAACUGCAAUUAAGUUUUGUGAAUAUAAUAUUCAAUUUCAUCGCGGACUCAAAAUUAUUAA
Stomoxys calcitrans (stable fly) is the source of this 599-nucleotide long non-coding RNA. RefSeq lists it as uncharacterized. The record is from RefSeq and is a predicted model, not a curated record. Lineage: Eukaryota; Metazoa; Arthropoda; Insecta; Diptera; Muscidae. The transcript is spliced from 2 exons.